AUCUUUAUACAUAAAGUUUGUGUGGUGCAUCGAUAUUUGCAUGUAAAGUUGUUUGGGCCACAUAAAUUUUGCACUUAGUAAAACUGUCGGCUCGGCCUCCAUCCCCUUCAUUCUGUCCUAGCACUGCCGCGGACCUCCCCGACCACGCGCAUCCCUAACGCCACGAACCGCCGGUGCCGCAGCCUAGCGCCGCCGCGAAGCUCCCCGACCACGCGCAUCUCCCUCGCCGCCACGAGCACAUCGGCCGGCGCCAUCCCAGCCGCCACAACCCAGAGGCCAGAUCCCACUCACCGCCGCAAGCUCCUCAUCGACCACCCCAUCGUCCUCGUCGGCUGCCGCAAGCUCCUCGUCGACCAACCCGUCCCCGUCGUCGUCGUCUCCUCGACGCUCGACGGGGUGCCUCUCCUCUCGACCCCGACCCCAAGCCCGAAGGACCCCAGGUGCCGUACGUCGGUAAUAAGAGAUGACGUACUACGUGGUGUUCGAGGGUCGGGUUCCAGGAGUCUACGAGGAGUGGGAGAACUGUAAGAAAUAGGUGCACAAGUUCAACGGCAAUAGCGACUAGACAUAAGGCGGUUGUCAAGUGGAGGAACCACCAGUCGAACAAGAACAAGAUGAAGACAUUCGUCGUGCUCCCGCUCUUGCUCACCAUCAUCGCGGAUGUACUCUAUUUCAUCCUAGUGUAGGCGGCGGUCGGUGACCACUUCAUUAGUAACUUGAGAUGAUGAACUUUGUACCAAUUAAGACUGUUGUAAAAAUUUGACACUUGCCACUAUAUGUAUCAUGCUCUAAGUAAUGUGAUGACAUGUUUUCAUA
Lolium perenne is the source of this 816-nucleotide long non-coding RNA. RefSeq lists it as uncharacterized. Lineage: Eukaryota; Viridiplantae; Streptophyta; Magnoliopsida; Poales; Poaceae. The record is from RefSeq and is a predicted model, not a curated record.